This 63-nucleotide transfer RNA is filed under the name Brontispa longissima. RNAcentral's name for it is "tRNA-Gly". Lineage: Eukaryota; Metazoa; Arthropoda; Insecta; Coleoptera; Chrysomelidae. The record is from RNAcentral.
AUUUAUAUAAUAUAAAAAUUAUAAUUGACUUCCAAUCAAUAAAUCUAUACAAUAGUAUAAAUA